Molecule: long non-coding RNA, 590 nt
Filed under: Zea mays
Lineage: Eukaryota; Viridiplantae; Streptophyta; Magnoliopsida; Poales; Poaceae
Description: long non-coding RNA (ZMAY_LNC002270)
Source: RNAcentral
AAACAAGGAAAAUUCAAAAAAAAGUAUGAUCAUAAUCAAGAAAAAACUCCAUCUCCAUUUAUGUAUCCAGAUAGAUAAUUUUUCAUGUUCCAACUAAUACCGAUCAAGCUAAUUUAGUACUCCAAAUCACAAAAAAAUCAUCUUCAUACAUGCAUCAAGAUAGAUAACUUAAAGCGCCAUAAUUUAAUUCUCCAAAUCAUAAAAAAUCAUCUCCAUUCAUGCAUCUAAAUUACAAAAAAAUCAUCAUAUUCAUUCUGGUGCAACCCAAGGUCUUGGUCUUGCCUUCCCCUUCCUCUAGACUUGCAUGUUCCAUGUGACGCAACAAAAAAAAAUUCAUCAACAUUAUGAAAGCACUAUACUUUAGAUUAUAUAAGACCUCAAUGACAGAAAAAUAUUCCUUCUUUGCUCAUUUUCCCCAUCAAACUCUGGAAGACCGGCCACAGACACAGAAAGCUAGCAAACAUGAUUACUCUUCCGUAGCAUCACCGAUGGUAACAUCAGUUUUCGGUCUCAAUGGAGUGAUCUUCGUUGACAAUACCUCUGCAAACAAUAGCACUCCCAACCUUGUAUAUCUUUGCACUUAGACGCUA